GGGUCAGUAGGUUGGUCGUGCCACCGGUACGUACUGGUCUCACUGGUUCCUCCUUCCUGAAGAACCGUAAUGCCAUUAAUUUGGUGUUGCGGGGAAACAGGACUGUUACUUUGAAAAAAUUAGAGUGUUUAAAGCAGGCUAACGCUUGAAUACAUUAGCAUGGGAUAAUGAAAUAGGACGAUCGAUCCUAUUUUGUUGGUUUCUAGGAUUGACGUA
RNAcentral lists this ribosomal RNA (216 nucleotides) under Glomeromycotina sp. Its description in RNAcentral is "partial small subunit ribosomal RNA". The stretch from base 47 to 216 matches the Rfam family "Eukaryotic small subunit ribosomal RNA", at positions 693 to 864 of the family's 1831-position model. The record is from RNAcentral. Lineage: Eukaryota; Fungi; Glomeromycota.